UCCGGUUUGACACCGGCAGUCUCCCUAGAGUGCCCGGCUUUACCCGCUGGUAACUAGGGACAAGGGUUGCGCUCGUUGCGGGACUUAACCCAACAUCUCACGACACGAGCUGACGACAGCCAUGCAGCACCUGUGCACGAUCUCCGAAGAGGGGCUCUCGUUUCUGAGAGCUUGCUCGUGCAUGUCAAGCCUAGGUAAGGUGGGGAUGACGUAACACAGACUAUAC
This 226-nucleotide unclassified non-coding RNA is filed under the name uncultured Gemmatimonadaceae bacterium. Its description in RNAcentral is "contains 16S-23S intergenic spacer region". The record is from RNAcentral. Lineage: Bacteria; Pseudomonadati; Gemmatimonadota; Gemmatimonadia; Gemmatimonadales; Gemmatimonadaceae.